Molecule: transfer RNA, 83 nt
Filed under: Microcella frigidaquae
Lineage: Bacteria; Bacillati; Actinomycetota; Actinomycetes; Micrococcales; Microbacteriaceae
Description: Salinibacterium aquaticus tRNA
Rfam family: tRNA
About the family: Transfer RNA (tRNA) molecules are approximately 80 nucleotides in length. Their secondary structure includes four short double-helical elements and three loops (D, anti-codon, and T loops). Further hydrogen bonds mediate the characteristic L-shaped molecular structure. tRNAs have two regions of fundamental functional importance: the anti-codon, which is responsible for specific mRNA codon recognition, and the 3' end, to which the tRNAs corresponding amino acid is attached (by aminoacyl-tRNA synthetases). tRNAs cope with the degeneracy of the genetic code in two manners: having more than one tRNA (with a specific anti-codon) for a particular amino acid; and 'wobble' base-pairing, i.e. permitting non-standard base-pairing at the 3rd anti-codon position.
Source: Rfam by way of RNAcentral
GCCGGCUUGGCGGAAUGGCAGACGCGGCGCACUCAAAAUGCGUUGUCCGAGAGGACGUGUGGGUUCGACCCCCACAGCCGGUA